Non-coding RNA from Heligmosomoides polygyrus, 72 nucleotides. Lineage: Eukaryota; Metazoa; Nematoda; Chromadorea; Rhabditida; Heligmosomidae. The record is from Rfam.
GCGCCGGUGGUGUAAGGCCUUUCAUCGCUGCCCGCAAAGUAGAAGGUGCGGGUUCGAGUCCCGCCUGGCGCA